ACGCACGCUGGCGGCGUGCUUAACCCAUUUAAGUCGAACGGAAAGGCCCUGCUUUUGUGUGGUUCUCGAGUGGCGAACGUUUGAUUAACACGUGAGUUACCUGCCCUUGACUUUGGGAUUACUUCCGGAAACUUGGGCUAAUACCGGAUAGGAGCUCCUUCUUCAUGGUGGUGGUUGGAAAUUUUCGGCGGUUGGGGAUGGACUCGCGUCUUAUCAGCUUGUUGGUGGGGUAGUGGCUUACCAAGGCUUUGACGGGUAGCCGGCAUGAGAGGGUGACCGGCGAAAAUGGGACUGAGAUACGGACCAGAAUGGUACGGGAGGCAGCAGUGGGGAAUAUUGCAGAAUGGGCGGAAGCCUGAUGAAGAAAAGCAGCGAGCGGGAUGACGGCCUUCGGGUUGUAAACAGAUUUAGAAUGUGAAGAAGAGUGAGUGACGGUAAUGGGUAAAGAAGCAACGGCUAACUACGUG
RNAcentral lists this ribosomal RNA (467 nucleotides) under uncultured bacterium. Its description in RNAcentral is "partial 16S ribosomal RNA". It matches the Rfam family "Bacterial small subunit ribosomal RNA", at positions 29 to 507 of the family's 1533-position model. The record is from RNAcentral.